Molecule: ribosomal RNA, 253 nt
Filed under: uncultured bacterium
Lineage: Bacteria
Description: partial 16S ribosomal RNA
Rfam family: Bacterial small subunit ribosomal RNA
Source: RNAcentral
UACGGGGGGGGCAAGCGUUGUUCGGAAUUACUGGGCGUAAAGGGCGCGUAGGCGGCCUGCUAAGUCACACGUGAAAUCCCUCGGCUCAACCGGGGAACUGCGUGUGAUACUGGCGGGCUUGAAUUCGGGAGAGGGAUGUGGAAUUCCAGGUGUAGCGGUGAAAUGCGUAGAUAUCUGGAGGAACACCGGUGGCGAAGGCGGCAUCCUGGACCGACACUGACGCUGAGGAGCGAAAGCCAGGGGAGCAAACGGG